RNAcentral lists this small RNA (115 nucleotides) under Arabidopsis thaliana (thale cress). Its description in RNAcentral is "ATSL174930". Lineage: Eukaryota; Viridiplantae; Streptophyta; Magnoliopsida; Brassicales; Brassicaceae. The record is from RNAcentral.
AAAAUAUAGAACACAAUCUUGAUUCCAAAACAAUCUAUAUAUACAUUUUUGCAGCCAUUUUAGCAAAUAAAUCAUGUACUUGGACUUAUUUACGAUCUAAUGUCAUUAGCAUUAA